Molecule: unclassified non-coding RNA, 317 nt
Filed under: Spizellomyces sp.
Lineage: Eukaryota; Fungi; Chytridiomycota; Chytridiomycetes; Spizellomycetales; Spizellomycetaceae
Description: partial internal transcribed spacer region
Rfam family: Eukaryotic small subunit ribosomal RNA (bases 1-46)
Source: RNAcentral
AAGUCGUAACAAGGUAACCGUAGGUGAACCUGCGGUUGGAUCAUUACAAAAAAAUUGUGCAUGCUGCAAAAUGCAUUGCCUACUUUAUGUGAACUGUUUUGUCUCUGGUGGGCUGGGUAAUAAAUAUAAUGUGAUCACAUUUAUUUUAUUACUUGUCAGACUGUAUGGAGAGCUUUAGUCUUAAGGAGCUUUCUCUAUGGUCCGUGGACAACCCACCAACCAAUUUUGUAAACUCUAUGUUUUUUAAUUACAGUCUAAAUAUAUAUUUCAUAAAUCAAUAUGAAAAACAACUUUUGGCAACGGAUCUCUUGGCUCUU